GCAGAAGGAUCAUUAGUGAAGAUUUGGGCAGGCCAUACGGACGCCAAAAAGUGUCCCUGGCCGCCUACACCCACUAUACAUCCACAAACCCGUGUGCACUGUCUUGGAGAAAGGCUUCAGAGAAGUUUUUUGUGGCCCCUCUUGGGGUCUUUCUUCGCUACAAACUCGAAUGGCUAGUAUGAACGUGGAACUUGGUUGGACCGUCACUGGCCAACAAACUAUACACAACUUUCGACAACGGAUCUCUUGGUUCUCCCA
RNAcentral lists this unclassified non-coding RNA (258 nucleotides) under uncultured fungus. RNAcentral describes it as "partial contains 18S rRNA, ITS1, 5.8S rRNA". Lineage: Eukaryota; Fungi. The record is from RNAcentral.